Molecule: ribosomal RNA, 517 nt
Filed under: uncultured bacterium
Lineage: Bacteria
Description: partial 16S ribosomal RNA
Rfam family: Bacterial small subunit ribosomal RNA
Source: RNAcentral
GAUGAACGCUGGCGGCGUGGAUAAGACAUGCAAGUCGAACGGGACUUUUUUCUGUAGCAAUACAGAGAAAAGUCUAGUGGCGAACGGGUGCGUAACACGUGAGCAACCUGCCGUGAAGUGGGGGAUAGCUCGCCGAAAGGCGAAUUAAUACCGCAUGUGGCCAAGGAAGACAUCUUCCUGACGCCAAAGCCGGGGCAACCUGGCGCUUCUCGAGGGGCUCGCGGCCUAUCAGCUUGUUGGUGAUGUAACGGCUCACCAAGGCUAUGACGGGUAGCUGGUCUGAGAGGACGACCAGCCACACUGGAACUGAGACACGGUCCAGACACCUACGGGUGGCAGCAGUCGAGAAUUUUUCACAAUGGGGGAAACCCUGAUGGAGCGACGCCGCGUGGAGGAUGAAGGUUUUCGGAUUGUAAACUCCUGUCAUUAGAGAACAAGGCACACGGUUUAACUGGCCGUGUGUUGAUAGUAUCUGAAGAGGAAGAGACGGCUAACUCCGUGCCAGCAGCCGCAGUAA